Molecule: long non-coding RNA, 682 nt
Organism: Galeopterus variegatus (Sunda flying lemur)
Lineage: Eukaryota; Metazoa; Chordata; Mammalia; Dermoptera; Cynocephalidae
Exons: 2
Source: RefSeq, a predicted model, not a curated record
GGGGGCGCAAGCAAACUGAGCUGGUCGUCCUCCCUGCUGAGUCUGUCUUGAGGCGUCCCUUCUCCUUCCGUGCUGUUCCCACUUUCCACGAGGCGCGGGGAGUAGCCUGGCGACGCCUCUCUCUCACUCUUACGCGAAAGAAAUCGAGAAAGCGCCUGAGGCCGGAGAAGAACCUAGCGGGGUCCCCCGCUCUCUGUGGCCUCCGCCUUUGGGCAGGCCGCGCGGGGCCGUGGGAGGAGCGCGGAAUCCUGGCUCCACCGCCCACAUGCUGGAUGACUUUGGGCGACGGCUCCCCCUCUCCCCACAGCUGGUGGGGAUGCGGUGAAAUACUAAGGCACAGGAAGCACCAGGCGCGUCGUUGUGCGGCGUGAGCGACCGAAGGCUGAGCCAGACCUAUGUCUUAGGAGCUUGCGGUCUCCUAGACAGGCGGGAGUAUCUCCCAUCCUCAUCACUUGUGAGGCAGCCCUGGAGAGAGAAAAGCCAGCUGCCAUAUUGUGAGGAUACUCAAGCAACCUGCCAGCAACCACAAGUGAACUUGUGAGUGGAUUCUCUCCUAGUUGAAUCUUGAGAUAACUGCAAACUCGUGAGAGAACGUGAGCCAGAACUAUCCAGCUAUGCUGCUCUCAGACUCCUGACCCACAAAGGCUGAGAUAAUAAACGUUUGUUAUCUUAAGCCAUUAAA